RNAcentral lists this ribosomal RNA (468 nucleotides) under uncultured bacterium. Its description in RNAcentral is "partial 16S ribosomal RNA". It matches the Rfam family "Bacterial small subunit ribosomal RNA", at positions 28 to 507 of the family's 1533-position model. The record is from RNAcentral.
GACGAACGCUGGCGGCGUGCUUAACACAUGCAAGUCGAACGGAAAGGCCCUGCAUUUGUGGGGUGCUCGAGUGGCGAAAGGGUGAGUAACACGUGAGUAACCUGCCCUUGACUUUGGGAUAACUUCAGGAAACUGGGGCUAAUACCGGAUAGGAGCUCCUGCUGCAUGGUGGGGGUUGGAAAGUUUCGGCGGUUGGGGAUGGACUCGCGGCUUAUCAGCUUGUUGGUGGGGUAGUGGCUUACCAAGGCAUUGACGGGUAGCCGGCCUGAGAGGGUGACCGGCCACAUUGGGACUGAGAUACGGCCCAGACUCCUACGGGGGGCAGCAGUGGGGAAUAUUGCACAAUGGGCGGAAGCCUGAUGCAGCAACGCCGCGUGCGGGAUGACGGCCUUCGGGUUGUAAACCGCUUUCGCCUGUGACGAAGCGUGAGUGACGGUAAUGGGUAAAGAAGCACCGGCUAACUACGUG